UAAUCAAACGAACUUACCAAGUGAAGUUCGAUGACAAUUAUGUGAACAGGUUUAUUCGACGCGAUUUAUUGUUUACAUGUUGUACAAGUAUCUCCAUUCACUGGCCUUCUACACAGAUUUUUAAAUUAGUCUAUGGAUUUUUUGUUGGUAACACAGGGAAAAUAAAUAAAAUAAAAUUUUAUAUGGUAACAUUCUACCCACUCAUUAUUCACUUCCAUCGACGGAGCUUCAUUUUGUUUAAAGACAUAACAUUGUUAUAUUAUUUCGUUGUAGGGGAGGGUUAAGAUGUUUAUUCGACGCGAUUUAUUGUUUACAUGUUGUACGAUGUUCAGAGAACACAGUGCGAAAUAAUAUAAACAAUGGACUGAGGAAUUGCACUUUUUUAUUCAAGAAAAUCUACAGAUUCAUUACAAAUUGGCAGAUAAUAUGCUGUUAGCAAACUGAUUUGGAUCUGAAAUAAUAUCACGAUUAUAAAACCGUGCAAACACGGAAGAAGAUUCCGUCCAGCCAGCGGUUUUUCGAAUUACAUCGAUACUCACUCCGAGUCUGUUAGCUGAUGAUGUGGAAGCAUGCCGUGUGCUAUGAGCGCUGAAUAUAGAAGUAUCAAUACCACUUUUGAGAAGAAUAUUUUUUAUCCAGUGACCGAGGGUUUGAGAAGAUACUUUAUUGUGAGGUCGUUUGUAACUAAUAAAUAAAUAAUCGUUAUGACGAA
Molecule: long non-coding RNA, 712 nt
Organism: Helicoverpa zea (corn earworm)
Lineage: Eukaryota; Metazoa; Arthropoda; Insecta; Lepidoptera; Noctuidae
Exons: 4
Source: RefSeq, a predicted model, not a curated record